UUAAUGUCGCCUCUCGCCUUAAUAACACUGGUAAUAAUCAAUUGUUAUAUCAUUUAUCUAACUAGUAAUUUUCACAAUUAUUUUGGUACUUAGCUUCCAAUUUGACCUAGUAGAGUUGACAAUUUUACCCUAUCUUGACAAAGAACCUAUGCCUCAACCUAAACUUGGCAAGAAAAGGUUUAAGGUAGGGCUGAGCAAUUUUCAAUUUAAACUGAAAAACCAAAUCAAACUGAACCAAUUCGGUUCAAUUAGUUCAGUUUUUCAGAUUAAACAAUUUGGUUAGUUUUAUGUUUGUGAUAAUUUCGACCAUUCGGUUCAAUUCGGUUAUUUUGAUAAAAAAAAAAAAACCGAACUGAACCAUAAUCCUAUACUACACACUUUUUGGGUCCUAUAAAUAUUCUCUAGUCCCCUGCCCUCUGAUCAUCUUCACUUUCCUUUCUUCUUAGUCCCUGUGACACGAUUUCUUUUCAAAACUACUUCUUACUUCUUCACCUUCACUUUAACCCACCUCCACCUCCACGAUUCCAUCUCACCUUUGUCUCCCAUAGGCCGCAUCUCACCUCAAGACUCCAAAGCAUCAUUAAAUUUCACCAUCAGAGAGAGACCCAUUGCUUCGCAUUGCACCAGUGUCAUGAGCAUUGCACCACAUGGUUCGCACCAUUGAUGCUCACCUAGUCACCUCGACCCAUCAAAGACCCAUGCAAACACAUGCUCACCUCGAUGCCAUCCAUCGUCCUUUGUCCCAUUGUGUGCCUCAUAGCAUGCCAUCAUCACUCUCUCCAUUGAUUUUUUAUUGAUUGAAACUUUCUUCAAAUCUGUUAAAUGUAAUUUGUUUUUAUGAAUACUAGAAUUAAUUGAUUGAUUUUGUUGCUAUAAAUACUUUUGAUGAGUCGAUUGAAUCUGUGAAAUGUUUGUUGAUUAAAUUUGUUGAUUGUUAUUGUUGCUAUGAAUUUGGUACUUGAAAUUUGGGAAUUAAACAACGUUUUGGGGGUUUAGGUAUUUUCUCAAACCAACGGUUUUGAACCGAACCGAAUCAAAUCGAAUGGGUUCAGUUUGAUUCGAUUCUUCACUAAAUUCGAUUCAAUUUUGGUUGGCAUUUUGUAGGAAAUCGGUUUUUUAAUUUCAGUUCGGUUCAGAACCAAACCGAUCGAAUCUUUCCUGUAAUUUAAGGUGCUAUGCUAUUUUGCCCCAACUUCAAAAAUAUAUUUUUAUAUUAAAAUAAUUUUUUAUGUAAAUAUCAAAAGAAGUGUUUGCCUUGAAAAAUAGACUAUUUAUUACACAAUUUUAAUUUUUUUUAAAUAUUAACAAAUAAUAUUUAACAUUUAAAAAAAUGCACAUAUAUAAAUAUAAUUUUUAAUAAUUUAUAAAAUCCCUUACACCUGCCCAAUUCCUAAGGUGGGAAGGGGAAUUGCAAAACCUGCCACAAUUAGGGCAAAGCAUUAUUGGGUUUUAAUCGAAAUGAAUUGAUUUAAUUUGAUUUUUCAAUUUUAUUUUAAAAAAAAAUUUGGUUCUUCAAUUUGGUUCAAUUAGUUUGGUCAAAAAACCGAAUUAAUUGAAUCGACCGAUAUAUUAUACUAUGUCGUUUCUUACUGCCUAUAGAUUACCCACACUGCUACUCACUCCAUAAUCCAACCAUUGCGCACAAAGAUAACA
This 1653-nucleotide unclassified non-coding RNA is filed under the name Hevea brasiliensis (rubber tree). The record is from RNAcentral. Lineage: Eukaryota; Viridiplantae; Streptophyta; Magnoliopsida; Malpighiales; Euphorbiaceae.